CGCCUCUUGUAAUCAUAAGAGGUCCAGCCUGCCCAGUGACUUUAUUCAACGGCCGCGGUAUUCUAACCGUGCAAAGGUAGCGUAAUCACUUGUUUUCUAAAUAAAGACCAGUAUGAAAGGCAUCACGAGGACUUAACUGUCUCCUUUCUCCAAUCAGUGAACCUAAUCUCCCCAUGAAGAAGCGGGGAUCCCCCUAUAAGACGAGAAGACCCCGUGGAGCUUAAAACAUUAUGACAAUUGCCACCAUCUUUAACCACCCCGGUGUCUCCCCCAGCGGCACCCUGAUUUAUAUGUUUUUGGUUGGGGUGACCGCGGAGAAAAACCCAUCCUCCUCGAUGAAAGGGACUUCCUACCCUAAACAACAAGUUACAACUUUAUGUAUCAAAAAAUUGACAUCUUUGACCCAAUUAAUUGAUUAACGAACCAAGUUACCCCGGGGAUAACAGCACAAUCCACUUUGAGAGCCCCUAUCGACAAGUGGGCUUAUGACCUCGAUGUUGGAUCAGGAUAUCCUAGUGGUGCAGCCGCUACUAAAGGUUCGUUUGUUCAACGAUUAAAAUCCC
RNAcentral lists this ribosomal RNA (563 nucleotides) under Pristimantis sp. 'Abakapa'. RNAcentral's name for it is "partial 16S ribosomal RNA". It matches the Rfam family "Bacterial large subunit ribosomal RNA", at positions 1831 to 2597 of the family's 2925-position model. The record is from RNAcentral. Lineage: Eukaryota; Metazoa; Chordata; Amphibia; Anura; Strabomantidae.